GUGGGGAAUCUUGCGCAAUGGGCGAAAGCCUGACGCAGCCAUGCCGCGUGAAUGAUGAAGGUCUUAGGAUUGUAAAAUUCUUUCACCGGGGACGAUAAUGACGGUAUCCGGAGAAGAAGCUCCGGCUAACUUCGUGCCAGCGGCCGCGGUAAUACGAAGGGGGCUAGCGUUGCUCGGAAUUACUGGGCGUAAAGGGCGCGUAGGCGGACAGCUUAGUCAGAGGUGAAAGCCCAGGGCUCAACCUUGGAAUUGCCUUUGAUACUGGCUGUCUUGAGUGUGGGAGAGGUGAGUGGAACUCCGAGUGUAGAGGUGAAAUUCGUAGAUAUUCGGAAGAACACCAGUGGCGAAGGCGACUCACUGGCCCAAUACUGACGCUGAGGCGCGAAAGCGUGGGGAGCAAACAGGAUUAGAUACCCGGGUAGUCC
This 425-nucleotide ribosomal RNA is filed under the name uncultured bacterium. Its description in RNAcentral is "partial 16S ribosomal RNA". It matches the Rfam family "Bacterial small subunit ribosomal RNA", at positions 354 to 796 of the family's 1533-position model. The record is from RNAcentral.